GUCUUGGGCACAGUUUGGGUCAGGCACUUUUGUUAGCUGUCUCCUGUUAGAGCCUUCUCAACCACUGGGACUUCCUGAGUGAUGCACUAGGUGACCUGAGAGGUCAGGAUUAAACAUGUACUCCUGUAGUUGUUUUUGUCUUUUGACUUAUUGAAAGGGAAACACAUUGUAUGUUUACCUCCUUCAUUGCCUGGAGCUUGGGUGAAGAAACUGAACACCACCUGCAACUCGAGGAGGGAAAGAGAAGAGUAGUUGUGUCUACAGAUAAUAUAGGGGAGACACGUGGAGCUCCUGCCUGCCGCAGGCACGAAGAAGCAUAAUCACUCUCAUAUCUGGGGACCGGGAGACUGGCGUGCUCAUCGUUUAAGUGCAUUUGCUGUAAUCACUGCUGCCAUCAGCAGAAACAGAGCUCAAGAAAGAACCAUGUUUACAUCCGUCCUUCAUCGACCCUCACAGGACAGGGCAGUGUUGGGGUUGAAGUCCUGUGUUCUGAUCGGUGAUUCUCAUGGUGACCAAGCGAGGAAGAAGGCCCGCUCUUCCAACACCAUGGCUUCUCUUCUGGGGCACACGAGGCUCUCAGGAUUUACACACUGGGGAAGCUGUUGCUCCAUGGCUGCUAUAUGUAUGUAGUCACUGUGCAGCCUGCUGACGAAGACCCUUUUGAGGACUUCUUUGGGAAUCGAAGGGGUCCCCGAGGAAGCAGAAGCCGAGGGACGGGGUCAUUUUUCUCCGCGUUCAGUGGAUUUCCGUCUUUUGGAAGUGGAUUUUCUUCUUUUGAUACAGGAUUUACUUCAUUUGGGUCACUAGGUCAUGGGGGCCUCACUUCAUUCUCUUCCACGUCAUUUGGUGGUAGUGGCAUGGGCAACUUCAAAUCGAUAUCAACUUCAACUAAAAUGGUUA
RNAcentral lists this small RNA (900 nucleotides) under Pan troglodytes (chimpanzee). RNAcentral's name for it is "retained intron". The record is from RNAcentral. Lineage: Eukaryota; Metazoa; Chordata; Mammalia; Primates; Hominidae.